This 211-nucleotide unclassified non-coding RNA is filed under the name plant metagenome. RNAcentral describes it as "partial contains small subunit ribosomal RNA, internal transcribed spacer 1, and 5.8S ribosomal RNA". The record is from RNAcentral.
UUUCCGUAGGUGAACCUGCGGAAGGAUCAUUCAUAAUAAAGUGUUUUAUGGCACUUUUUAAAAAUCCAUAUCCACCUUGUGUGCAAUGUUAGAUCUCGACAAUCUUGGCGAGAUUUUUAUACAUCAACUCAUUCUUUAACUAAUUUGUCUGAAAAAUAUUAUGAAUACUUAAUUCAAAAUACAACUUUCAACAACGGAUCUCUUGGCUCUC